UACGUAGGGUGCAAGCGUUAAUCGGAAUUACUGGGCGUAAAGCGUGCGCAGGCGGCUUUGCAAGACAGAUGUGAAAUCCCCGGGCUUAACCUGGGAACUGCAUUUGUGACUGCAUGGCUGGAGUGCGGCAGAGGGGAUGGAAUUCCGCGUGUAGCAGUGAAAUGCGUAGAUAUGCGGAGGAACACCGAUGGCGAAGGCAAUCCCCUGGGCCUGCACUGACGCUGAGGAGCGAAAGCAUGGGGAGCGAACAGG
RNAcentral lists this ribosomal RNA (252 nucleotides) under uncultured bacterium. RNAcentral's name for it is "partial 16S ribosomal RNA". It matches the Rfam family "Bacterial small subunit ribosomal RNA", at positions 524 to 776 of the family's 1533-position model. The record is from RNAcentral.